GAGGCAAUCAAGAAGGAGCACGCCGGGGUGCUCGCGACAGCUCAGGCCCGGCUCGACGAGAAGAGCGAGGACGAGGCGGUUCGUCGACGAGGUGGUCGAGCGGAUGCAGCGGAAGCCGGACCCCGAGCCGUCCCCGGAGCCCCCGGCAGAAGAUGGCGCUUUCCGAUGUAUCUUCUUUUUUUUUUUUCCUGCAAGUGUGGCGCUUGGCGCCGUUUGAACAAUUAUUUUUCCAUUAGCUUAUGUAAUUGUUUAACACUUAGUUAAUCAAGCUCUUUAAUUUGCUUAAUUCUUGUUCCCUGUUCCCGGGGCUGCCUCGCGUGGCGGCUCCUUUAGCCUUUGUGUGUUUUGCCUUGUGUUGCCGGGAACUCGCGCGCCUCACCCUUAACCAGACCAGGGACCCGGGACGGACCCGCAGUGCCGACCUGGGGUCAGGCGGUAGCGGGGAGCCACUCCACUUGCGGGGUAACUACUCCAAGCCGUGCCUCCCGGGACGGACCCGGGAAGCCACACGGGGAGCGCACUCCCCCCGCAAGUGUCCUUCUAACACUCUAGCCACGUGCAGGUUCCGGGGCCACACCUGGCGAAGCAGCGUUCAAUUAUAUUCAGUUCUUAGUGGGUU
This 619-nucleotide long non-coding RNA is filed under the name Brachypodium distachyon (stiff brome). RNAcentral's name for it is "long non-coding RNA (BDIS_LNC005622)". Lineage: Eukaryota; Viridiplantae; Streptophyta; Magnoliopsida; Poales; Poaceae. The record is from RNAcentral.